GUCUUUUUGAAUUAAAUUUAAAGUCUAACCUGCCCACUGAAAAUUUUAAAUGGCCGCAGUAUUCUAACUGUGCAAAGGUAGCAUAAUCAUUAGUCUUUUAAUUGAAGGCUGGAAUGAAUGGUUGGACGAAAUAUUAACUGUUUCAUUUAAAUUUUUUAUAGAAUUUUAUUUUUUAGUUAAAAAGCUAAAAUAAAUUUAAAAGACGAGAAGACCCUAUAAAUCUUUAUAUUUUGUUUAUUUUAAUUAUAAAGAUUAUUUUUAUUAUAAUAAAUUAAAAUAUUUUAUUGGGGUGAUAUUAAAAUUUAAAAAACUUUUAAUUUUAAAAACCAUUAAUUUAUGAAUAAUUGAUCCAUUAAUAAUGAUUAAAAAUUUAAGUUACUUUAGGGAUAACAGCGUAAUUUUUUUGGAGAGUUCAUAUCGAUAAAAAAGAUUGCGACCUCGAUGUUGGAUUAAGAUAUAAUUUUGGGUGUAGCCGUUCAAAUUUUAAGUCUGUUCGACUUUUAAAUUCUU
This 510-nucleotide ribosomal RNA is filed under the name Drosophila barbata. RNAcentral describes it as "partial 16S ribosomal RNA". It matches the Rfam family "Bacterial large subunit ribosomal RNA", at positions 1825 to 2597 of the family's 2925-position model. The record is from RNAcentral. Lineage: Eukaryota; Metazoa; Arthropoda; Insecta; Diptera; Drosophilidae.